UGGGGAAUAUUGCACAAUGGGCGCAAGUCUGAUGCAGCCAUGCCGCGUGUAUGAAGAAGGCCUUCGGGUUGUAAAGUACUUUCAGCGGGGAGGAAGGGAGUAAAGUUAAUACCUUUGCUCAUUGACGUUACCCGCAGAAGAAGCACCGGCUAACUCCGUGCCAGCAGCCGCGGUAAUACGGAGGGUGCAAGCGUUAAUCGGAAUUACUGGGCGUAAAGCGCACGCAGGCGGUCUGUCAAGUCGGAUGUGAAAUCCCCGGGCUCAACCUGGGAACUGCAUUCGAAACUGGCAGGCUAGAGUAUUGUAGAGGGGGGUAGAAUUCCAGGUGUAGCGGUGAAAUGCGUAGAGAUCUGGAGGAAUACCGGUGGCGAAGGCGGCCCCCUGGACGAAGACUGACGCUCAGGUGCGAAAGCGUGGGGAGCAAACAGG
RNAcentral lists this ribosomal RNA (429 nucleotides) under Chloroflexota bacterium. Its description in RNAcentral is "Chloroflexi bacterium partial 16S ribosomal RNA". It matches the Rfam family "Bacterial small subunit ribosomal RNA", at positions 355 to 776 of the family's 1533-position model. The record is from RNAcentral. Lineage: Bacteria; Bacillati; Chloroflexota.